UACAGAGGUGGCAAGCGUUGUUCGGAAUUACUGGGCGUAAAGGGCGCGUAGGUGGCCUUCUUAGUCAGACGUGAAAUCCCCGGGCUUAACUCGGGAACUGCGUCUGAUACUGGAAGGCUGGAGUUCGGGAGAGGAAUGUGGAAUUCCAGGUGUAGCGGUGAAAUGCGUAGAUAUCAGGAGGAACACCGGUGGCGAAGGCGGCAUUCUGGACCGAAACUGACGCUGAGGCGCGAAAGCCAGGGGAGCAAGCGGG
Molecule: ribosomal RNA, 253 nt
Filed under: uncultured bacterium
Lineage: Bacteria
Description: partial 16S ribosomal RNA
Rfam family: Bacterial small subunit ribosomal RNA
Source: RNAcentral